GAAAUGCGAUAAGUAAUGUGAAUUGCAGAAUUCAGUGAAUCAUCGAAUCUUUGAACGCACAUUGCGCCCGCCAGUAUUCUGGCGGGCAUGCCUGUUCGAGCGUCAUUACAACCCUCAGGCCCCCGGGCCUGGCGUUGGGGAUCGGCGGAAGCCCCCUGCGGGCACAACGCCGUCCCCCAAAUACAGUGGCGGUCCCGCCGCAGCUUCCAUUGCGUAGUAGCUAACACCUCGCAACUGGAGAGCGGCGCGGCCACGCCGUAAAACACCCAACUUCUGAAUGUUGACCUCGAAUCAGGUAGGAUUACCCGCUGAACUUAAGC
RNAcentral lists this unclassified non-coding RNA (320 nucleotides) under plant metagenome. RNAcentral describes it as "partial contains 5.8S ribosomal RNA, internal transcribed spacer 2, and large subunit ribosomal RNA". The stretch from base 1 to 105 matches the Rfam family "5.8S ribosomal RNA", at positions 50 to 154 of the family's 154-position model. The record is from RNAcentral.